UACGUAGGGUGCGAGCGUUAUUCGGAAUUACUGGGCGUAAAGCGUGCGCAGGCGGUUCGCCGAGUCAGGUGUGAAAUCCCCGGGCUUAACCUGGGAAUUGCGCUUGAAACUAGCGGGCUUGAGUGUGGCAGAGGGGGGUGGAAUUCCACGUGUAGCAGUGAAAUGCGUAGAGAUGUGGAGGAACACCGAUGGCGAAGGCAGCGCCCUGGGUAAACACUGACGCUCAUGCACGAAAGCGUGGGGAGCAAACAGG
RNAcentral lists this ribosomal RNA (253 nucleotides) under uncultured bacterium. RNAcentral's name for it is "partial 16S ribosomal RNA". It matches the Rfam family "Bacterial small subunit ribosomal RNA", at positions 524 to 776 of the family's 1533-position model. The record is from RNAcentral.